GGAGGGAUACUCUUAUAGUGGUUUGAGUGUUGGACUAUAACUCUGGAGACCCGGGUUCAAUUCCCAGUUCGGCCA
This is a non-coding RNA of Phrynosoma platyrhinos (Desert horned lizard), 75 nucleotides long. The record is from the annotation of a GenBank genome assembly. NCBI's taxonomy places the organism in Eukaryota, Metazoa, Chordata, Lepidosauria, Squamata, Phrynosomatidae.